GCGGAGGAAAAGAAACUAACAAGGAUUCCCCCAGUAACGGCGAGUGAAGAGGGAACAGCUCAGAUUUAAAACCUGGUGGGCACCGCCUACCCGGAUUGUAAUCUAUGUUGCGCAAGUGCCGAGAUUAGAAUGGUCAACAAGUCCUUUGGAAUAAGGCUUCAAAGAGGGUGACAAUCCCGUUUUUGGCCCAUUUUGGUUCAUAGUGCACUGGCAACCGCGAGUCAGGUUGUUUGGGAAUGCAGCCUAAAUCGGGUGGUAAAUCCCAUCUAAAGCUAAAUAUUGGCGAGAGACCGAUAGCGAACAAGUACCGUGAGGGAAAGAUGAAAAGAACUUUGAAAAGAGAGUUAAACAGUAUGUGAAAUUGCUGAAAGGGAAGCGUUUGCAGCCAGUGGGGUCAAACCGCGGUUUGUUGGGUGUGAUAAUUGUUUUGAUGACACCCGACAGACUCGGAUUGGCGUAAUGGCUGUCAACGAC
This 474-nucleotide ribosomal RNA is filed under the name Lentamyces parricida. RNAcentral's name for it is "eukaryotic LSU rRNA". It matches the Rfam family "Eukaryotic large subunit ribosomal RNA", at positions 50 to 512 of the family's 3401-position model. The record is from RNAcentral. Lineage: Eukaryota; Fungi; Mucoromycota; Mucoromycetes; Mucorales; Lentamycetaceae.